Molecule: long non-coding RNA, 277 nt
Organism: Lepidothrix coronata (blue-crowned manakin)
Lineage: Eukaryota; Metazoa; Chordata; Aves; Passeriformes; Pipridae
Exons: 3
Source: RefSeq, a predicted model, not a curated record
ACUUUAACCUUGAUUGAAGUCAUUGAAGUCCAGCGACUGUUACACUCAUAAUAAAAAAAUGCAUCUUAUUUUUGUCUGAAUUUGCUUACUUUCAGCUUCCUCUCAUUGCUUUUCUAUUCAACUGCUAGAACGAAAAGCAUUCUGCCAUCAAGUAUCUGUCCUCAUGCAGGCAAAGUAUCUCUCCGGCCAUCACAGAGUCCAGCCAGAUAGGAAGACUGAACAAAUGCAGAAGCAGGAUGUGAAGACCAGUGUGAGCUACAUGCUGAGCUAUCAGGUG